UAAAAGUCGUAACAAGGUCUCCGUAGGUGAACCUGCCGAAGGAUCAUUACCGUUUGUCUCUUUUGACUAACACCACUGUGAACUGUACCAAGCAAGUGGGGUGUUCCGCAAGGAACUUAAAUGGGUCCUAUGGGUCCUGCCCCGCUUGUGCAACCCACUUUUGUGUAUUUUUACGCACUUGUGUAAAUCAUGUGUGUUGAAGCUUUAGCUUUGACAAAGAAAAAAACGUGACAACUUCUAACGGUGGAUCUCUUGGCUCGUGCAUCGAUGAAGAACGUAGCCAGUUGCGAUAAGUAGUGUGAAUUGCAGAAUUCAGUGAAUCAUCGAAUCUUUGAACGCAAAUUGCGCUUUCUGGAUAUCCCGGGAGCAUGCCUGUCUGAGCGUCGUUUAAAAAUCAACACACCUCGGUGUGGGUAGGGAGUUCACGCGGCUGCGUUUACGUAGCUGCCUGUCUCUCGAUGUGUCUGAACCUUGCUUGUACUUGCUUACGUACUUGCUUGGAAGGCUCAACUUGCUUCUGUCCUUCUAAAGCUCUGUGCUUGCUCGAACAUGCGGUUCUCACGAGUCUCUCUAUGAGUGACUCAAUUUCUUUUUUUGACCUCAGAUCAGACAAGACUACCCGCUGAAUUUAAGCAUAUCAAUA
RNAcentral lists this ribosomal RNA (643 nucleotides) under uncultured eukaryote. RNAcentral describes it as "eukaryotic LSU rRNA". The stretch from base 233 to 386 matches the Rfam family "5.8S ribosomal RNA". The record is from RNAcentral.